AUGCUUUUGUUGGUGUGUGUGGGGAAGAGGGAGGGUGUAGAGUGGUGUUUGUGUGUGUGCUGUGCUCCUCCUCCUACAGCAGCCUCGGGAGUCGUUGUGUGGUGUGGUGCUGGUAGCGCGGGAAGGAGUGCUUUAGAACAGGGCUCCGAUUCGGCAUCAUAUUUUAAUUUUCUCUCUCCGUCUCCACUGUGUCUCUAUCUUUUGCUGUCUAUCUUUCUCUUUCCCGCUUUCGCUCUGCCUUGUUCCAUCUCUAUCUCUCUCUCUCUCUCUCCCUCUCCCUCUCUCUCUCUCUCUCUCUCUCUCUCUCUCUCUCUCUCUCUCUCUCUCUCUCUCUCUCUCUCUCUCUCUCUCUCUCUCUCUCUCUCUGUCUCUCUCUGUCUCUCACUGUCUCUCUCUGUCUCUCUCUCGCGCGCACAUCCCUCGCUCUCUUUUUAAAGACACAGGAGGCGCGCGCUGCAUUGCUCCCUCCAGGAAAGAGGCACACCCCUCUCGCUCUUGAGAGUUAAAUAUGGUGGUGGAGGGUGUGAAGGAGGUGAGGGAGAUAGAUAGGUGAGGCAGAGGUUGGUGAAGGGGUGGGGUGGUGGUGGUGGGGGGACUGUUUACGUUAUUUUUGUGUGUGUGUGUGUGUGUGUGUGUGUGUGUGUGUGUGUGUGUGUGUGUGUGUGUGUGUGUGUGUGUGUGUGUGUGUGUGUGUGUGUGUGUGUGUUUGUUUGUGUGUGUGUGUGUGUAUGCGUGUCUUCAAAGUAAUGCUGUCAAGGGAGGCGGAAAAAUGCUGCCAGCGUCUUCUAUUAAUGGGGAGGGGGGGGGGAGAGAGAGAGAGAUUGAUGGAGAGAGAGAGAGAGAGAGAGAGAGAGAGAGAGAGAGAGAGAGAGAGAGAGAGAGAGAGAGAGAGAGAGAGAGAGAGAGAGAGAGAGAGAGAGAGAGGAGAGAGAGAGAGAUAGGGGGAGAGAGGUUGGGGAGAUGAGGGAGAAGGAUGAAUUGCAUGCUGGAGAGCAUGUGUCCCCUAGUGACCUGUGCAGGUAAUGAUAUAACCCCCCUAGUGGCUAUGUAGCAGCUAUUGAUGAAAAGGUAUUAGGCUGAAGGCCCCUGCCUUCCACUAGAUUGUCACGACGCAAAGGAUUAGCGGAAGGUGAGAGUGACAAGGACAGCAGUGGGAGGGGCGUUUCUUAGCUGAGGGGCAAAUCAGGGCUGGAUUUAUCUUCUUCUUUUUUUUGCCCAUAAGUGGUGAAUUGUAUCCUGGCAACAACAGUGCGGGAACGAGCAAAAUAGUGUGUGGUCAUAAGUGGUUGUUGAUUAACCUGUUGUGUUAACCUCUCUGGGCAGUAGUUAACCAAGCUUUUAGCCAAUCAAACCAAAUCAUUGUGAUGUGUUGAAACACACACACACACACACAUACACAGGCUACAUGCCACAAGUGGCUAACUAAAAGAAAGACUGGAAACAGAAUGACCCAACACUGAGAUACAGUGAAGUCAAGGGCACCUUAAGGUCACAGAGAUUGUGUUUUUGUUAGGUUCAAUAUUAUUUAUUAUUAUUUAUAUUAUCUAAAAUUUGAGUGUUCAAUCAUUACUUCUAUUAUUAUUAUCAUAAUUAUUAGUACAUAUUAUUAGUAUUAUGCACACUUUCAUAGGCACAAUAUAGGAGCUCAGGAAGAGAUGAAUAGCGUUAAAACGAUACAGAUCCAUUAGGAAUUAGCUACUAAUGUAUUACUAAUUAAAACAAAAAGUCACCACCAGAAAGUGAAACGGGAGUGGUACAAUGAAAGCUGACAAAGAUGGACGAUGGCCAGUGAUAUGUCCAUAGAGAGAGAGAGAGAGAGAGAGAGAGAGAGAGAGAGAGAGAGAGAGAGAGAGAGAGAGAGAGAGAGAGAGGGAGAGAGAGAGAGAGAGAGAGAGAGAGAGAGAGAGAGAGAGAGAGAGAGAGAGAGAGAGAGGGAGAGAGAGAGAGAGAGAGAGAGAGAGAGAGAGAGAGAGAGAGAGAGAGAGAGAGAGAGAGAGAGAGAGAGAGAGAGAGAGAGAGAGAGAGAGAGUCCACAGAGAGAGCAGACAGAGAGGGAGAAAGAGAGAGAGGGAGAAAGAGAGAGAGGAGAUGGAUAGAUAAAAGAGGAGGAGAUAAGGCCCGGUAGUAUCGACUGUGAUGAAUAAUGUAUGGGUCGGACUGCGCAUGUGUAAAAACGCAGGGGGACUCUCAUGCUGUCGGUUUCACCCAGCUGCUCCACAGACAGAAGAACAGAAGAACAAGGAGGAAAGUAAUCGCAAACUUGGGUAGUGCUGUCAACUCGCAGCUUCAGAGAGACCUGUGCGAGUGUGUGUGUGCAUGUUUGUGUUUGUGUGUGUUGUGUCUGGGGUCUGAUGUGGCUGUGUUUGAUCUGCUCUCCCUAGUUGCCUUGGCUCCAGCCUGCUAUGGAUUUCAACACUGGAAAAUGAACAGCAACCUGAACCAGUUUCGACCAGCUUAUAUAAUCGUUUAUUUGAAUCACAUUGGAGGCUUUUACGACACACACAAACACACACACAGGGGG
Molecule: long non-coding RNA, 2521 nt
Filed under: Gadus morhua (Atlantic cod)
Lineage: Eukaryota; Metazoa; Chordata; Actinopteri; Gadiformes; Gadidae
Description: lncRNA (ENSGMOG00000035747.1)
Source: RNAcentral